Penaeus chinensis is the source of this 1066-nucleotide long non-coding RNA. RefSeq lists it as uncharacterized. NCBI's taxonomy places the organism in Eukaryota, Metazoa, Arthropoda, Malacostraca, Decapoda, Penaeidae. The transcript has 2 exons. The record is from RefSeq and is a predicted model, not a curated record.
UGGGGCCGGAUACUCAAAACAACCCGUAAGUUACAAGGUCGAGGACGUUGUAACCGCCUUACAACAUUGUAACUUACGAACUCCUUACAAUAUUGUAAGUGACCCAUACUCAAAAAAAAAUUACAAUGUUGUAAGCACAUUGUAAGGCUAAUGUCAACAUCGUAAGUUAAUUCCCUAGGCUGCCAAGAGAGGGCACCUCGGUAGGUGAUUGACCAAUCAGCAGUCAGCCUCGUAGACGUAACAGCCAAUGAGAAGCCACAAAUCUCAGCUGUUUUAUCACCGCACUACACCAAAGGUAAACAACGUCAUGGAAGGUCCAACUCAAAAGAAAAGAACACCAAAUUUCUCAGACGAAGAGAUGUUGGCUUUAAUAGAAGCCGUGGCAACGAAGAGAAAUGUGGUUCUGGGUAAAUCAAAUAACAGAAUAACCGCACAAGUGAAAAAUAACGCCUAGGAGAGUGUGACUAAGGAAGUGAGUCUUGUCGCUCGCGUACCGAGGAAUGUGAAUGUAGGGCGUAGGAAGUUCACAGACCUAAGAGCAGCUUGAAAAAAAAGGCAGCACAAGAGGAAAAACACAUGGGAGGAAUAGAUGUUGCAGAACCAACUCCUGCGCCAUCUGGGAUAGCAUCUCAGGUCAUAAGACUCGAAAGUUGUUGUAACAUUGGAUGAGGGCACUCCAGAGGAGCAAGAAAUGACAAUAUCCAUUGUGUCAAUGGACCACACUUACUCUUCAGAAUUACCUCCUUUUUUAAUAGAAGACAGUGACGCUCAGGAUGGAGGUAGCAGGCAUGGUCAUAGCAGAAGAUCAGAAGAAAGGAGAAUUUUGCCUGACAUGCUUCAGAUACAAGCAAAUAUAGAAAUUCACUUGAAACAGCUUGUAAGCUCAGUAAAAGACAUUGCAUCAGCAUUACAAACAAUUGCUGGUGUUAUAAAAGAUAAGGCAUAAGUUCUUAUUUUUAUCAAAUUAUGAAAUAUUUUAGUUUUUCUCCCAUUCAAUUCUAGUCUUAAUCUACCCAUUUAUAGUACACAGUUGACAUUAAUUUGUGAUAGGCAUUUGUACAUUUAA